CAUGUAUACUCACUCAGUAGUAUAUCUUGAAGACUGGCCAAUCAACAGUUUUAAGCAUAAGUUUAGCUCAGUGACCCAGCUAUAGUAAAGUGCAACGACGUAUUUAUUUCGGAAACACUUUCGCUUUCGAGCAGUUUAAUCGAGUGCAGACUUUCUCUCAACCUGCGAUCAUGCGCAACCCCUAUUUGACAAGAACCGACAACUGACCAGCCUCCUGGAGACACGUUGCCAUGGUGAUUGGAAAACCUCACCUGUGGUCAGCAGGACGCCUCCCCUGAAGGCUUAUUUCCUACAGGACCCAUUAGGUACCAUCAGUGUAGGAAACGGGCCACUGUGUUUUUGUGGACAGCCAGAUUUUCUCUCAACUCUGCGAUCAUGCGCGUGACUCCCGUGUGACAAGAACCGAGAACUGACCAGCUGCCCGGACACGCGUUGCCAUGGUGAUUGGAAACCCUGCAUGACGUCAAUAGGACGCCUCCCUCUGAGGUCUUAUAGCCGAGUGCUGCUGGUUGAGGUGCGGGCAUGGUUGUGUGACAACUACAGGUAUUCAUAAUUAGUAGAGAGAGAAAGAGAAGUAGUGUGUAUGGAUAUUACAGUGCUAGAUACACCAAAGUACACUACCUACAGUAAGUCACUCAUCUAAACAUCAGAGAAACACACUAUGGGCAAUUUAGAGGCACCCAUAGACUUGAAAAGAAUGUCUUUGGACUGUGGGAGGAAACCUGUAGGAAGUUUUUUUUAUUACAAUCAGAACUUAGAACUCUGAUUAAAACUGGCAUGCUUGACAUCAUAAUC
Molecule: long non-coding RNA, 795 nt
Filed under: Scleropages formosus (Asian bonytongue)
Lineage: Eukaryota; Metazoa; Chordata; Actinopteri; Osteoglossiformes; Osteoglossidae
Description: lncRNA (ENSSFOG00015031128.1)
Source: RNAcentral